AGAGUUUGAUCCUGGCUCAGGAUGAACGUUGGCGGCGUGCCUAACACAUGCAAGUCGAACGCAAAUAGCAAUAUUUGAGUGGCGCACGGGUGAGUAACACGUAGCUUACCUCCCUCCGAGAGUGGGAUAACGGGCUCGAAAGAGCUGCUAAUACCGCAUAAGCUCACGGUUUCUAGAGGACUGUGAGAAAAGGGGCAACUCGGCUUGGAGACGGGGCUGCGGCCCAUCAGCUAGAUGGUGAGGUAACGGCUUACCAUGGCGACGACGGGUAGGGGACCUGAGAGGGUGACCCCCCACACUGGGACUGAGACACGGCCCAGACUCCUACGGGAGGCAGCAGUGAGGAAUAUUGCACAAUGGGCGCAAGCCUGAUGCAGCGACGCCGCGUGAGUGAAGAAGGCCUUCGGGUCGUAAAGCUCUUUUCUGCGUGACGAGCAAGGACGGUAGCGCAGGAAUAAGUCUCGGCUAACUACGUG
Molecule: ribosomal RNA, 476 nt
Filed under: uncultured bacterium
Lineage: Bacteria
Description: bacterial SSU rRNA
Rfam family: Bacterial small subunit ribosomal RNA
Source: RNAcentral